This 231-nucleotide unclassified non-coding RNA is filed under the name Hevea brasiliensis (rubber tree). The record is from RNAcentral. Lineage: Eukaryota; Viridiplantae; Streptophyta; Magnoliopsida; Malpighiales; Euphorbiaceae.
GAAGUGCUUGGGAGAUAUAGGAGUGGUAUGGUUAACUAAAUUGUUUAAUAAAAUUCUAAAUUCAAAGAAAAUGCCGGAUGAAUGGAGGAUGAGUAUUUUAGUACCCAUUUUUAAAAAUAAGGGAGACAUAUAGAGUUGCUCAAAUUAUAGGUGAAUUAAACUCAUGAGCCAUAUUAUGAAGUUGUGGAAGAGAUUUGUGGAACAUCGACUACGUCAUGGCACUUCUAUCUC